Chlorocebus sabaeus (green monkey) is the source of this 2331-nucleotide non-coding RNA. NCBI's taxonomy places the organism in Eukaryota, Metazoa, Chordata, Mammalia, Primates, Cercopithecidae. The record is from RefSeq and is a predicted model, not a curated record.
GAGCUAAGCAGAAAAACGGCUGGGGCAGCGUCAGUGGGGGUGGAGAGGACAAACAGAUACUAGAAAUAUUCGGGAGGCAAAUCAGCCGAACUGAAUGUGGGGAGAGAGGAGUCUGGGAGAACGCCCAGGUUUCUCGUAUGAGAACUGGUGGAUGUUAGGGUUAUCACUGAGAUAGCGACGCAGGAAAGAAACAAAUGGGGAGAGCGAGAGGUCUGUCUAGAAUAUGUUGAGCUUUUGAGGGGCUUACAGGAAGAGUGUGGACAGACUUGGCCAAUAGGCGGCCCCUCCGGAUGUGAACUUCCAGGCAGAGCUCAGAAGGGCAGAAUUAGCGACGUCAGUAGCUCGUGGGGAUGGGGGUGUGGUUAAAACCAAGGUGGGAGCAGGCGCCCCAGGCCCAGGAGAGGUGCUCAUGCGCAGGAUGGACAAAGGGGUCUCCAGCAAGAGCCCGAGGAAGUCGGGCCAUACCCCAUUUUUGCGGAGAAGAGAUUUAGUACAGAGCCCUGUGAAACCCCCUAAGUUUAGGAUACAGGUCAAACUUAGGAGGUCCCGAAGAGGGCAGAGAAGGUGGGAGAAAAGCCAGGAGGAAGUGAGGGGAGAGGUUGCGGGGCCCGUGGAGACGAAAGGAGGAACUCCCUUCGCGCUCCUGCAGACCGCCGCGGGGAGACAGGACGCAGGAGCCCGGGACUCCCCCUCCCGGCGGGAGGAAGCGUUGCUCCUCCGCGUAGUCCUCCUUCUCUCUUCCCUCGCCGCUCCCGCCCCGUCCCCGCCCCCACUGGCUGUGUCCCGGAAGUGGUCCUAUGCUGGGUCCGGAUGCCGGGAGCGGAAUCUCGGCACUCCCGGAAGUGGCCUGGAGGCGGUGGGCCAGGCCCGAGCGGUGCUCCCUCCUGCUCGGGCCGCCUCGGCCCCGGGCGUCGCCAUGACCAGCGAGCUGGACAUCUUCGUGGGGAACACUACCCUUAUCGACGAAGACGUGUAUCGCCUCUGGCUCGAUGGUUACUCGGUGACCGACGCGGUGGCCCUGCGGGUGCGCUCGGGAAUCCUGGAGCAGACGGGCGCCACGGCAGCGGUGCUGCAGAGCGACACCAUGGACCAUUACCGCACCUUCCACAUGCUCGAGCGGCUGCUGCACGCACCACCCAAGCUACUGCACCAGCUCAUCUUCCAGAUUCCGCCCUCCCGGCAGGCACUACUCAUCGAGAGGUACUAUGCCUUUGAUGAGGCCUUUGUUCGGGAGGUGCUGGGCAAGAAGCUGUCCAAAGGCACCAAGAAAGACCUGGAUGACAUCAGCACCAAAACAGGCAUCACCCUCAAGAGCUGCCGGAGACAGUUUGACAACUUUAAGCGAGUCUUCAAGGUGGUAGAGGAAAUGCGGGGCUCCCUGGUGGACAAUAUUCAGCAACACUUUCUCCUCUCUGACCGGUUGGCCAGGGACUAUGCAGCCAUCGUCUUCUUUGCUAACAACCGCUUUGAGACAGGGAAGAAAAAACUGCAGUAUCUGAGCUUCGGUGACUUUGCCUUCUGUGCUGAGCUCAUGAUCCAAAACUGGACCCUUGGAGCCGUCGACUCGCAGAUGGAUGACAUGGACAUGGACUUAGACAAGGAAUUUCUCCAGGACUUGAAGGAACUCAAGGUGCUAGUGGCUGACAAGGACCUUCUGGACCUGCACAAGAGCCUGGUGUGCACUGCUCUCCGGGGAAAGCUGGGUGUCUUCUCUGAGAUGGAAGCCAACUUCAAGGUCUGUGGUCCCAUCCAGCCUCUGGCCUUUGGCAUCGUCAGCCUCCAGUUCGCCACCUCUACUGGGCAGCUCUGCCCCUCCCAGAGACUGGCCGGCAGGUGGCGCUGCUGCUCCCUCUGGUGGCUGCUGAUGGCGGCCGCUGACGGGAGCAGCUCAUAAACAAUGGGGACUUGGUUGAUGGAGGGAGGUGGAUGGAUCUGGGGAGGGACCUACUCCUCCCCCAGCUUCUGUGCUCAGCUCCCAACUUCUGGGGCAGAAAGCAGAACUCCAAGGAUCCCUGCCCCACAGAACCUGUCCCGGGGGCUGGUGAACGUGGCCGCCAAGCUGACUCACAAUAAAGAUGUCAGAGACCUGUUUGUGGACCUCGUGGAGAAGUUUGUGGAACCCUGCCGCUCCGACCACUGGCCACUCAGCGACGUGCGGUUCUUCCUGAAUCAGUAUUCAGCGUCUGUCCACUCCCUCGAUGGCUUCCGACACCAGGCCCUCUGGGACCGCUACAUGGGCACCCUCCGCGGCUGCCUCCUGCGCCUCUAUCAUGACUGAGGCCCCUCCCAAUGUCCCGCCCACACUGACAAUAAAGUUGCCCUGAGUUUGGA